Molecule: ribosomal RNA, 253 nt
Filed under: uncultured bacterium
Lineage: Bacteria
Description: partial 16S ribosomal RNA
Rfam family: Bacterial small subunit ribosomal RNA
Source: RNAcentral
UACGUAGGGCGCAAGCGUUGUCCGGAAUUAUUGGGCGUAAAGAGCUCGUAGGUGGCGUGUCGCGUCUGCCGUGAAAGCCCAUGGCUUAACUGUGGGUCUGCGGUGGAUACGGGCAGGCUGGAGGCUGGUAGGGGCAAGCGGAAUUCCUGGUGUAGCGGUGAAAUGCGCAGAUAUCAGGAAGAACACCUAUGGCGAAGGCAGCACUCUGGGACGGUACUGACGCUGAGACGCGAAAGCGUGGGGAGCGAACAGG